RNAcentral lists this ribosomal RNA (429 nucleotides) under Actinomycetes bacterium. Its description in RNAcentral is "Actinobacteria bacterium partial 16S ribosomal RNA". It matches the Rfam family "Bacterial small subunit ribosomal RNA", at positions 355 to 776 of the family's 1533-position model. Lineage: Bacteria; Bacillati; Actinomycetota; Actinomycetes. The record is from RNAcentral.
UAGGGAAUCUUCCGCAAUGGGCGAAAGCCUGACGGAGCAACGCCGCGUGAGUGAUGAAGGUCUUCGGAUCGUAAAACUCUGUUAUUAGGGAAGAACAAAUGUGUAAGUAACUAUGCACGUCUUGACGGUACCUAAUCAGAAAGCCACGGCUAACUACGUGCCAGCAGCCGCGGUAAUACGUAGGUGGCAAGCGUUAUCCGGAAUUAUUGGGGGUAAAGCGCGCGUAGGCGGUUUUUUAAGUCUGAUGUGAAAGCCCACGGCUCAACCGUGGAGGGUCAUUGGAAACUGGAAAACUUGAGUGCAGAAGAGGAAAGUGGAAUUCCAUGUGUAGCGGUGAAAUGCGCAGAGAUAUGGAGGAACACCAGUGGCGAAGGCGACUUUCUGGUCUGUAACUGACGCUGAUGUGCGAAAGCGUGGGGAUCAAACAGG